Long non-coding RNA from Brassica napus (rape), 1081 nucleotides. RefSeq lists it as uncharacterized. The record is from RefSeq and is a predicted model, not a curated record. The transcript has 3 exons. NCBI's taxonomy places the organism in Eukaryota, Viridiplantae, Streptophyta, Magnoliopsida, Brassicales, Brassicaceae.
CAAGAAUUUUUUUUUCUUUUUUUCUUCUUUUUUUUUUUCUUUUUUUUUUCUCUCUUUUGUUUUUCCUCGUCUUCUUCGUCGAAAGUCUUCUCAACUCUCCGGUUCUGGUUAACGUCGUGCAAGAAUACGUGAGUGAUUCCAGGCUUCUUCCUGUUCCUAGCCAUAACCGCCGCCGAGUAAAUCGCCGCCAUUCUUCCCGGAGCUUCGGCGGCGAAGUAACCGCUGAAGGAGAUCGACUGAUCGAGAUCUCGUGGAUGUUUCUGUUGAUUGGCUCCACUAUAAUCUUAGAGAGGCUGAUAUAAAGGUGUUGGAUGCCUCAUGGUACAUGCCACAUGAGCAAAGAAAUACAAUCCAAGAGUAUCAGGUGAGGACUAUGUACAUUUUGUAGAUAAUUAGAUAAAUAAACUUUUGAUCUGGAUGAGCGCUAUGAAACUUUUAUUUCUAACUUGUUGACCAUCACCAUUAUGAUUUAUGUCCGAGUGAAAUCUUAUAAGAAAUGUUGUGAACUUAAAUUGAUUGUUAGUGUCUUUUUCUCUUUAGAACUUUCCCAUUUUGUAUUGCUUCUGGUUUUGAGCUUCUAUGUGUCUUAUGAAUGCACAACCAUGAACCAACCCCCAAUACUUUUUUGUAAAUUAUUUGAAUCACAUGUGACAAUUACCACACAUGCUACCGUCUGAGGAAGCUUUUGCUGCUGCUUGUUCUGCUCUUGGAAUCGAGAACAAAGAUGGAGUGGUUGUGUAUGAUGGAAAGGGCAUCUUUAGCGCAGCUCGUGUUUGGUGGAUGUUUAGAGUCUUUGGGCAUGAAAGUGUUUGGGUUCUUGAUGGAGGCUUACCGAAAUGGCGUGCUUCAGGCUAUGAGGUUGAAUCUAGUGCUUAUGCCAUUUUGAAAUCCAAUGCUGCAAGUGAGGCUGCAGAGAAAGUUUAUCAAGGACAACCAGUAAGUUUGUUUAUUCAUAUUUUCAUGUUCUGUUUUAGUGGUUUAGGUUUGUGUUGUUGUUGUUCUUUGUCAUGUUUUAGUUGUUUAAGAAGAAUGUUCUGUAAUGGAAUUAAUGGAGUUAAUGUAGUUCUUGUUAUGUUUAAAA